AGCUUUGUGCAGUGGCAGUGUCAUAGCCAAUGAGGUUGAUCUGAGGUACAAUUAUUGCUAAUUGAAAAUUUUUCCCAAUACCCCACCAUCAAGACUUGAAAUAUAGUUGCAUUGACAAUUUUUGCUGGUAUCUGUGGAGG
Small nuclear RNA from Cercocebus atys (sooty mangabey), 140 nucleotides. Its record names the gene U4. It matches the Rfam family "U4 spliceosomal RNA". From Rfam's summary of the family: U4 small nuclear RNA (U4 snRNA) is a component of the major U2-dependent spliceosome. The structure of U4 snRNA from yeast and human has been reported. NCBI's taxonomy places the organism in Eukaryota, Metazoa, Chordata, Mammalia, Primates, Cercopithecidae. The record is from Ensembl.